This 555-nucleotide ribosomal RNA is filed under the name Hepatozoon sp. BT-2016 clade A. RNAcentral describes it as "bacterial SSU rRNA". It matches the Rfam family "Eukaryotic small subunit ribosomal RNA", at positions 362 to 907 of the family's 1831-position model. Lineage: Eukaryota; Apicomplexa; Hepatozoidae. The record is from RNAcentral.
ACGGGGAAUUAGGGUUCAAUUCCGGAGAGGGAGCCUGAGAAACGGCUACCACAUCUAAGGAAGGCAGCAGGCGCGCAAAUUACCCAAUUCUAACAGCAUAAGAGAGGUAGUGACAAGAAAUAACAGUACAAGGCAGUUAAAAUGCUUUGUAAUUGGAAUGAUAGAAAUUUAAAUACUUUUUAAAGUAUCAAUUGGAGGGCAAGUCUGGUGCCAGCAGCCGCGGUAAUUCCAGCUCCAAUAGCGUAUAUUAAAAUUGUUGCAGUUAAAAAGCUCGUAGUUGAAUUUUUGCUAAAAAUAACCGGUCUGCUUUUAUUAAUAAAAGUGGUAUCUUGGUGUGUUUUUAGCAAUAAUGUCCUUUGAAAUGUUUUUUACUUUAUUGUAAAAAGCAAUUUUCAGGAUUUUUACUUUGAGAAAAUUAGAGUGUUUCAAGCAGGCUAACGUUUUGAAUACUGCAGCAUGGAAUAAUAAAAUAGGAUUUUAGUUCUACGUUAUUGGUUUUAAGAACUAAAUUAAUGAUUAAUAGGAGCAGUUGGGGGCAUUUGUAUUUAACUGUCA